UUGAACCAAAAGGAAUUCCACAAAGCAUUUGAGAGGAGGAGAUUAUCUGAUCAUCAGAUAUCAAGCAAGCAAGCAGAAAACAUGGUGAAGAGCACUUCAACAAAAUCCGUUCUCCUAGUUUUCGUAUUCGCCAUGGCCAUAGCUUUGUCCUUGUCAAAGAUGGAAGCCGCUGAGAUGGACAUGUUGGUCAGUGCAACCGCAAGAAAGAUUUUGUAAAUCAACCUCCCCGAGUGUUAUUUCUAGCCUUGCAAAAACGUUACAGAAUGCAAAUCACCAUGUAACCUUUGUGUUACAGGUGUUUGUGCAGGAGGUUGAAUGGAGAAUGAAGACUAUCAUCCUUCGCAUAUUAGCAUUUGCAUAUGAAUUUGCACUUUCCUGGUUUGUAAUGAAUAACAUUGGACUGCCUCUCUCCAGAAACUGUUAGUGUUGUAUCAUGGUGUGCUGUGUUGGAUUUCCAAAAUGUGUUUGGGUUCAUCUACAGGAAUAAAAUUCGCUAUUGGCAAAUAGUCUAGCUAUUAAAUAAAUUUUCCCCUUCUUUGCUGA
This is a non-coding RNA of Coffea arabica (coffee), 543 nucleotides long. NCBI's taxonomy places the organism in Eukaryota, Viridiplantae, Streptophyta, Magnoliopsida, Gentianales, Rubiaceae. The record is from RefSeq and is a predicted model, not a curated record.